AGUCAUCUACUUAAAUGAUUUUUUUGUUAAAAGCUAUCAUCAUUGCUUAUCAUACAUAUGGUUUCUAUUAAAUCUAUUUUUGAUGAAAACUACUUUUGAUCUUCUGAAAAAUAGAAAAUAAACUAUUGCAUAUCUUUCAUAUUUUUCAGUCGUACAUAUUAUGCUUGAUAUGUUCUUAUGAAAAUAAUGCCAAAUCUGAUAAAGAUAUUUCUAUCAUUGGAUAUCAUUCAUCAAGCAAUGCAUAUAGAAUAUUCAAUGAAAAGAUUCUAGUUGUAGAAAUAUCAAUUCAUUUUAUUCUUUAUGAGACUAAUGAUCUUUCAUGAAGACACUAAAAUCAGAUUAUUUAACAUGUAUAUGAUUAAUCUUUUUGCAUACAUAUAACAAUCUGAAACUAAAACACUUAAGAAUGAACAAGAUUAUAAUUGGUCAAGUUAAACUAAAUCAUUUUUUUUAAAGAGAUAGAAUUUGAAAUCUUACCGAUGAAAUCUGAAAACUU
Molecule: long non-coding RNA, 496 nt
Filed under: Phoenix dactylifera (date palm)
Lineage: Eukaryota; Viridiplantae; Streptophyta; Magnoliopsida; Arecales; Arecaceae
Description: long non-coding RNA (PDAC_LNC021372)
Source: RNAcentral